RNAcentral lists this ribosomal RNA (1684 nucleotides) under Monopylocystis robusta. Its description in RNAcentral is "SSU rRNA". It matches the Rfam family "Eukaryotic small subunit ribosomal RNA", at positions 58 to 1639 of the family's 1831-position model. Lineage: Eukaryota; Heterolobosea; Eutetramitea; Lyromonadida; Psalteriomonadidae. The record is from RNAcentral.
UGUGAGAUCGAAUCUGUUACGUAAGUAACUGAUUUUCAAUCUGUGCACAGCUCCAUAUAAGAUUUAUAACCGCCUCUGGUUGUGUCCUUUUGGAAUUAGAAGGAUAACGCAACCAAAUGUAGUGAUAAUACUUGAGUUUAUAAAUAAUAGAGUUUUAAGGAAUUAGCUCUAUUUACCAGAGUUUUUACUCUGGUGUUAACCGAUGGUCGAUCAGGCGGGUUUAUUACUCAUCAGUUAGUUAACUGUUUCAAUAACAGUUACAACUGUCACGAGUACGGGGAAUUAGUGUUCGAUUCCGGAGAAGGAGCCUGAGAAACAGCUACUAGUGCCAAGGCAUGCAGCAGGCGCGAAAAUUACCCAAUGCGAACACGUUCGCGAGGUAGUGAAAAGAAAUAAGCAUCUUUUCCUUAUUGGAAAAGAGUACUGGAAUUAUUUCCGGUUUACAAUGGCAACAUGUUAGAAUUAUGUUGGAGUAACAAUUGGAGGGAAAGUCAGGUGCCAGCAGCCGCGGUAAUACCUGCUCCAAUAGUGUAUGAUAACAUUGCUGCAGUUAAAACGUUCGUAGUCGCCAUAAGGAAUGGUAAAUCGAAGUCGAUUUGAUCGAUCUUGAGAAUAUACUAUCCAAAUAGUAUAUUUUCGAGUUCGCUUUGCGAAACCUUUUAGGUUUAUCGGUCUUUUCAUAGCAUCCUUGAUAAUAAUUCUUGAACAAAAGUUCAGAAUUAUUUUCGAUGGAUGUGAUUUCGAUUUACUAUUCUGAUUUUAACCCGUGAGCAAAUUAGUGCGAUCAAAGGAUGAUUAGUGAUGGUUUUCUUCUUCGGAAGAUGCCAUUUGUGAUGCAAUAUAUUAUAGCACGGAACCAGUUGUUCCGACUAAUUUUUUAGUCGGUACAGACAAUAGAACCAGGAGUAAGCUAUCGGUAUUUACUGAUGAGGGGUGAAAUCCGUAUAGUCAGUAAGGACCCACAAAGGCGAAAGCAGAUAGCUAGCACUGGUUCAUAUGAUGAGGAACGAGGGCCAGGGGAGCAAAGAUGAUUAGAUACCGUCGUAGUCCUGGCUGUAAACCAUACAAAUUCGAGAUUGUAUGAAACCAUAUAGAAGAUUUAUACAGCAUCCCAGAGAAAUCACAAAUUUUUGUGUUCUUGGGGGAGUAUAUUCGCAAGAACGAAACUUAAAGGAAUUGACGGAAAUUCACCACCAGGAGUGGAUUCUGCGGCUUAAUUCGACUCAACACGUGGAAACUUACCAGAAUCAGACCAUAUUAAGAUUGACAGGUUAAUGACCUUUCUUGAUUUAUGAAAUAGUGGUGCAUGGUCGUUCUCAGUUCGUGGAUUGGUCUGUCUACUUAAUUGUGAUAACGAGCGAGACCUCCGUUAUUAAUUAGCAACAGCCGUAAUUCCUAUUGGUGGAAUCGGUGAUUGGAUAUUAUAUCCGUCUUCUUAAUAAGACUCUACUCGAUUAAGUAAAACAGAGUAUGGAAGUUGGAGGCCAUAACAGAUCUGUUAUGCCCUUAUAUAUUCUGGGCGGCACGCGUAAAACAAUGUUUUUGCCAAUAAGUGUGCGCCAAAAGCUUUCCAAAUUUGAAAAAAUAAGGAAAGCUAUGGAAUCCUUGAUUUCAAGGCUGGGAUUGAAGAUUGUAAGUUCUUCAUAAACCAGGAAUUCCUAGUAAUCGCAAAUCAACAAUUUGC